GCCCUUAUAGCUCAGUUGGCAGAGCACAUCCAUGGUAAGGAUGAGGUCAUCAGUUCGAUUCUGAUUGAGGGCU
Molecule: transfer RNA, 73 nt
Filed under: Treponema sp.
Lineage: Bacteria; Pseudomonadati; Spirochaetota; Spirochaetia; Treponematales; Treponemataceae
Also listed under: 1 other name
Description: tRNA-Thr
Rfam family: tRNA
About the family: Transfer RNA (tRNA) molecules are approximately 80 nucleotides in length.
Source: RNAcentral